This 498-nucleotide long non-coding RNA is filed under the name Pongo abelii (Sumatran orangutan). RNAcentral's name for it is "lincRNA". The record is from RNAcentral. Lineage: Eukaryota; Metazoa; Chordata; Mammalia; Primates; Hominidae.
CUGUGGCAGAGACGGAUGAGAUGAACGGGGAUUUUAUACCAGGCAUCAGAAGGGAACCAGUGCUAAAGACAAUGAAAACACCGGGCCAGGAGAGGCAGCUGGCAUGCGGGCCGUGGUGGUUUUACGUGGCCGAUUUCCAUCCCCAUGUGGCAGCUGAGGAAACAGAGGCUCAGAGAGAGUGAGACCCCUGGGGUCUCGGAGCCAGGCCUGGGAAAAGCUACUUCACGUCAGGCCAGGGGCUGUAGCCCUGGCAACCUCCACUCCGCCUGGAAAUCCUCCACCUCGGGGCCUCUCUUUGCCCAGACCUGGCCCAGGAGGAGCACAUGGGAGCCGGGACCUUCCCAACAAUCCUUGCCGUUGGCUCCACAAACCUCAGCCAGUCCUGCAACCUGGGAUGCCUUCUCCACCAGGAUGCCUGCUACUGUCACUGUUGUCAUUAGAUAAUUAAUGAACUAUAAUUAGAAAUAAUAUCAAUAAAAUUUCACAGUCUAAGGCUGU